Hippopotamus amphibius kiboko is the source of this 248-nucleotide long non-coding RNA. RefSeq lists it as uncharacterized. The record is from RefSeq and is a predicted model, not a curated record. Lineage: Eukaryota; Metazoa; Chordata; Mammalia; Artiodactyla; Hippopotamidae. The transcript has 3 exons.
GUGAGCCUGUUUCCUCGUGGCCCCCAGCGGAGGGGAGCCGCUGCGAAGGAAGGAGCUGGGCACUGAGCCCGCCAGGUGGGGCUGCGGCUGCCCGGCCGCCCUCGCGCUGGCUCUGCCUGACGGGAUCGCCCCGCGGGGACCCUGGCAGGUAGGCCUCGAGGUGCCCGCCUGCCCGUCCCAGCCCCGCAGGGUCUGUUUCCCCAGUGACGCCACCUCUGCCGAGCAGCCAGGAAACAAACAGUGUGAGG